This is a long non-coding RNA of Sapajus apella (tufted capuchin), 794 nucleotides long. RefSeq lists it as uncharacterized. NCBI's taxonomy places the organism in Eukaryota, Metazoa, Chordata, Mammalia, Primates, Cebidae. The transcript is spliced from 3 exons. The record is from RefSeq and is a predicted model, not a curated record.
UUAAUUUUAGUAUUUGGUAUUUUGAAUAUGUCAUUGCAUUUACUUCUGGCCUGCAAAGUUUCUGCCAAGGAAUCUACUGAAAAUCUUAUAGGAGCUUAAUGUGAUGAGUUGCUUUUCUCUUACUGCUUUCAAGAUUCUCCCUUUUCUUCUGUGACUUUUGACAGUGUGAUUAUGUGUCUUGGUGUGAGUCUUUUUGAAUUUAUCCUAGUUGAAGUUCAUUGAGCUUUUUCAAUUUGUAUGCCAAUUUCCUCCCUCAAAUUUAGGGAAUUUUCAGCCAUUAUUUCUUCAAAUAGAUACUCUACUUCUUUCUCACCCUCUUCUCGAUUUGAGAUUCCCAUAAUGUGGAUAAUGAUCUGUUUGAUGAUGUCUUAGGCUCUCUUGACUUUUCUUUAUUCUUUUUUUUUUUUUUUGGUUCCUGACUUAAUAAUUUCAAAUAACCUGUCUUUAAGUUUGCCAGUUCUUUCUUUUGCUUGAUCCAGUCUGCUGUUGAAUGAACCCCUCUAGUGAAUUGUUUUUUAGUUCCAUUAUUGUAUUUUUCAACUCUGGAAUUUCUGCUUGGUUCUCAUUUUUAGUUUCUCUUUGUUGAUAGUCUCAUUUUGUUCCAGCAUUUUAUUUUUCUUGGUUCCUUUAGUUGUCUGUUUUAGUUCAUGGAGUAUUUUAAUAUGGUUAUUUCAAGUUCUUUAUGAGGUAAUUCAUAAAUCUCUGUUUCUUUCUAGAGAUUUGUUUCUUUGAUUUGGCCAUGUUUCCUUGUUCCUUUGCAUACAUUGUGAUCUUUUGUUGAGGUUUGGGUACAU